GGCAGCAGUGGGGAAGUAUUGCACAAUCGGGCGCAAGCCUGAUGCAGCCAUGCCGCGUGUAUGAAGAAGGCCUUCGGGUUGUAAAGUACUUUCAGCAGUGAGGAAGGUGGGUAUGUUAAUAGCAUAUUCAUUUGACGUUAGCUGCAGAAGAAGCACCGGCUAACUCCGUGCCAGCAGCCGCGGUAAUACGGAGGGUGCGAGCGUUAAUCGGAAUUACUGGGCGUAAAGCGCAUGCAGGUGGUUUGUUAAGUCAGAUGUGAAAGCCCGGGGCUCAACCUCGGAAUUGCAUUUGAAACUGGCAAACUAGAGUACUGUAGAGGGGGGUAGGAAUUUCAGGUGUAGCGGUGAAAUGCGUAGAGAUCUGAAGGAAUACCGGUGGCGAAGGCGGCCCCCUGGACAGAUACUGACACUCAGAUGCGAAAGCGUGGGGAGCAAACAGGAUUAGAUACCCUGGUAG
This 457-nucleotide ribosomal RNA is filed under the name uncultured bacterium. RNAcentral describes it as "bacterial SSU rRNA". It matches the Rfam family "Bacterial small subunit ribosomal RNA", at positions 347 to 793 of the family's 1533-position model. The record is from RNAcentral.